CUCUUUCCAGCCGCCCUGUGGGGAAGGUGUCUUGCUUCCCCUUCACCUUCCACCAUCAGUGUAAGUUUCCUGAGGAUUCCCCAGCCGUGCUGAACUAUAAACGAUGAGGAAAAAUUGUUCUUUAUUAAAGAGUUCCAACUAAUAAAUACUGGAGGGCUGAUAGAAUUAGGAAAUAUCCAUUUUGCUAACUGUGAUGAAAUAAUGGAUCCAGGAGGUGAUCAUCAACGGCUGCUAAAACUGUGAAGACUGAUGAGAAACUCUGCAAUGAAGGGAUCAGAUAGACAUCACCAAAACCCACUAAUCAGUACUAAAGUCAGCAAACAUAUACAAUUGGGAAUCCUGGGACUCUAGAUUUGCUAUAUAGGUAGUGUAUUCAAUACCUAUGAGAGAUUCUUAUUACACACAUAAAUACAUCCUUUGGACCUAACUACAUGACAUAAUGAUAAACAACACGACAAAAAAAUCAACAAAUAAAGAAUUUAGGACAAUCUACAGGUCGAAUAAUUCAUCUUGACUUGCAAACAGAUGACAUAAAAAUCUUGGGUGGAAAUAGGAGAAAGGGAACUGUCGUGGAUCACAAGAAUCUUAGGAGACUACCAACCAAAUGCAGUGGAUGAAGCUUAUUGCAUCUCAGUUUAAUCAAACCAACUGUAAAAAUGCAUUUUUGAGCCAAUAAGGUGAAUUUGAGUGUGGCCUAUUUAUGAGAUGAUUUUAUACAUUAAUUAUUAAUCUUAUGUGUGAUAAUGACAUUAUGAUCAUGUUUCUGUAACAGCCUCUUACCUAUUAAAGACACAUAAUCAGGUAUCUGGACUUGAAAAGAUGUGAUAUCUGGGAGAUGCUUUAAAAAUAUGAGGGAUAAACAAAAGUGGUAGGCUCUUGAAGAUUGCUGAAGCUGGAGAUGGGUAAUGGGAGUUAUCUUCUGGUGUUCUUUUGUGUUUGAACUAAAAAUAAGCAAAACAUCUGUUUCUAACACAUAGCAGAUCUUAACGAAAGAUUUCUUAUCUUUUUAUUUUUAACCCAAAUUAUGUUUUGGAGGUCAGACUUUCUCCCUGGCUAAUGUUUAUGAGCAUGGGGGAACCACUCGCAGCCUGGUUUGGGUGGCCAUGGGAAGGGAGGAGAGAAAAGUGUUUUAAAGGAGAAGAGUGGUACAAAACUAGGAUGUGCCUGGGCAUGCCAAGGUGAUCUUUGUUAUUUUUCUAUUUUGCUGGCCCAGAUCACUGGCUAUCUUCACAAAUGUAUGCAGUGUCUUCAUGUAAAUUAGAAAUAGACUUGCCAGGAUGUGUGGUGAAGAAGAGGAUUUUGUAGGAUUUUAACUCCUCCUUACCCAGAAAGCUGGUUAAGAGGCAUAAACAAUACAGACACAUGAAGUGUGGACCCCGGCCCUAUUGUCAGGUGCAGAGAAGAAAAACAGACCGUUGAGAUUUUUGAGUGGUCUGAGAGAGAUAGCUCACCCUUCAUACACACCC
This 1466-nucleotide long non-coding RNA is filed under the name Homo sapiens (human). Its description in RNAcentral is "HSALNT0349384". The record is from RNAcentral. Lineage: Eukaryota; Metazoa; Chordata; Mammalia; Primates; Hominidae.